MicroRNA precursor from Xenopus tropicalis (tropical clawed frog), 75 nucleotides. Ensembl annotates it as xtr-mir-29d. Its record names the gene xtr-mir-29d. The record is from Ensembl. Lineage: Eukaryota; Metazoa; Chordata; Amphibia; Anura; Pipidae.
UCAGGAGGCUGGUUUCAUGUGGUGGUUUAGAUUUAACUGCACAAUGUCUAGCACCAUAUGAAAUCAGUGUCCUUA